This 758-nucleotide small RNA is filed under the name Pan troglodytes (chimpanzee). RNAcentral's name for it is "processed transcript". Lineage: Eukaryota; Metazoa; Chordata; Mammalia; Primates; Hominidae. The record is from RNAcentral.
CUUGGGAUCCACCGCUGCCCUCAGCUCCGAGUCCAGGGCGAGGCUUGGGCACUGUUUAAAGGAAAGUUCCGAGAAGGCAUCGACAAGCCGGACCCUCCCACCUGGAAGACGCGCCUGCGGUGCGCUUUGAACAAGAGCAAUGACUUUGAGGAACUGGUUGAGCGGAGCCAGCUGGACAUCUCAGACCCAUACAAAGUGUACAGGAUUGUUCCUGAGGGAGCCAAAAAAGGAGCCAAGCAGCUCACCCUGGAGGACCCGCAGAUGUCCAUGAGCCACCCCUACACCAUGACAACGCCUUACCCUUCGCUCCCAGCCCAGCAGGUUCACAACUACAUGAUGCCACCCCUCGACCGAAGCUGGAGGGACUACGUCCCGGAUCAGCCACACCCGGAAAUCCCGUACCAAUGUCCCGUGACGUUUGGACCCCGCGGCCACCACUGGCAAGGCCCAGCUUGUGAAAAUGGUAAGGAGGAUACCAGGGCAGGAAACAGAAGAGCUAAUUGCUAAUGUGGCCAUGGGCCAUGGUGAAUCCUGGUCUGUCCUGGGCAGCACCAAAGCUCUUUCCCCUUCUUAGAGGCUGCGUGUGCAGCUCGGGGAGAGGAGGGUUUUCUCACUCCUGUGGGAUGGUGGCAUCCCACAGCCAAGUUUACUCUCAGGAUCCAUGCUAGGCACUGCCCUUCGUGGGAUCUUAUUUAAACACCACAGAGAUCACUCCAGGCAGUGGAAAACAGCCCCCCCACUUUUUAUAUAGAGAGGAG